GCAGAAGUACUCAAGUGGCUGAAGAGGUGCCCCUGCUAAGGGUAUAGACCGUUUACGCGGUGCGAGGGUUCAAAUCCCUCCUUCUGUU
This 88-nucleotide transfer RNA is filed under the name Clostridiales bacterium Nov_37_41. Its description in RNAcentral is "tRNA-Ser". It matches the Rfam family "tRNA". Rfam says of the family: Transfer RNA (tRNA) molecules are approximately 80 nucleotides in length. Their secondary structure includes four short double-helical elements and three loops (D, anti-codon, and T loops). The record is from RNAcentral. Lineage: Bacteria; Bacillati; Bacillota; Clostridia; Eubacteriales.